GACGAACGCUGGCGGCGUGCUUAAUACAUGCAAGUCGAGCGAGGUUACUGUUUUGGAUCCCUUCGGGGUGAAGAAGCUUUAACCUAGCGGCGGACGGGUGAGUAACGCGUGGGUAACCUACCCCAAAGUCCGGGAUAACAGCGGGAAACCGCUGCUAAUACCGGAUGCCUUUACCUUGGGGCAUCUUGAGGUAAAGAAAGGUAACGCUUUGGGAUGGGCCCGCGUCCCAUUAGCUAGUUGGUGAGGUAACGGCUCACCAAGGCGACGAUGGGUAGCCGGCCUGAGAGGGUGGACGGCCACACUGGGACUGAGACACGGCCCAGACUCCUACGGGAGGCAGCAGUAGGGAAUAUUGCGCAAUGGACGGAAGUCUGACGCAGCGACGCCGCGUGAGCGAUGAAGGUCUUCGGAUCGUAAAGCUCUGUCCUUGGGGAAGAAGGCGAAAGCUCGACGGUACCCAAGAAGAAAGCCCCGGCUAACUACGUGCCAGCAGCCGCGGUAAUACGUAGGGGGCGAGCGUUGUCCGGAAUUACUGGGCGUAAAGGGUGCGUAGGCGGCCCUUUAAGUCGGAUGUGAAAGCCCGCGGCUUAACCGCGGAAUGGCAUUCGAAACUGGAGGGCUUGAGUGUCGGAGAGGGUAGUGGAAUUCCCAGUGUAGCGGUGAAAUGCGUAGAUAUUGGGAGGAACACCAGUGGCGAAGGCGACUACCUGGACGAUAACUGACGCUGAGGCACGAAAGCUAGGGGAGCAAACAGG
Molecule: ribosomal RNA, 755 nt
Filed under: uncultured bacterium
Lineage: Bacteria
Description: bacterial SSU rRNA
Rfam family: Bacterial small subunit ribosomal RNA
Source: RNAcentral